AGCUCCGAGGUGUUUUACACAUCAGAUUGCAAAUCUGAAGUAGCAGGCUAAUCCCAGCCGGGGCUU
This 66-nucleotide transfer RNA is filed under the name Ostorhinchus apogonoides (short-tooth cardinal). RNAcentral describes it as "tRNA-Cys". The record is from RNAcentral. Lineage: Eukaryota; Metazoa; Chordata; Actinopteri; Kurtiformes; Apogonidae. RNAcentral also lists the same sequence under 1 other name.